RNAcentral lists this ribosomal RNA (491 nucleotides) under uncultured bacterium. RNAcentral describes it as "partial 16S ribosomal RNA". It matches the Rfam family "Bacterial small subunit ribosomal RNA", at positions 29 to 507 of the family's 1533-position model. The record is from RNAcentral.
AGUGAACGCUGGCGGUAGGCCUAACACAUGCAAGUCGAACGGCAGCACAGUAAGAGCUUGCUCUUACGGGUGGCGAGUGGCGGACGGGUGAGGAAUACAUCGGAAUCUACUUUUUCGUGGGGGAUAACGUAGGGAAACUUACGCUAAUACCGCAUACGACCUACGGGUGAAAGCAGGGGAUCUUCGGACCUUGCGCGAUUGAAUGAGCCGAUGUCGGAUUAGCUAGUUGGCGGGGUAAAGGCCCACCAAGGCGACGAUCCGUAGCUGGUCUGAGAGGAUGAUCAGUCACACUGGAACUGAGACACGGUCCAGACUCCUACGGGAGGCAGCAGUGGGGAAUAUUGGACAAUGGGCGCAAGCCUGAUCCAGCCAUACCGCGUGGGUGAAGAAGGCCUUCGGGUUGUAAAGCCCUUUUGUUGGGAAGAAAAGCAGCAGGUUAAUACCCCGCUGUUCUGACGGUACCCAAAGAAUAAGCACCGGCUAACUUCGUG